RNAcentral lists this long non-coding RNA (350 nucleotides) under Volvox carteri. Its description in RNAcentral is "long non-coding RNA (VCAR_LNC002757)". The record is from RNAcentral. Lineage: Eukaryota; Viridiplantae; Chlorophyta; Chlorophyceae; Chlamydomonadales; Volvocaceae.
GGAUUGGAAGUAACUGUGGGGCAGGCGGGGAUGAGGAGGUGGCAGAGGCCCGGGCCCUACACCCCUGGGUACGCACACUGUCCGCCUACCUGGAGCUCACCCACCCUGCACUCCAGCCUUGGGCUCUGACAACCACCCGGCCCACGGGACCAUGGCUCGGUGGCAGAGACCUCCCUGCAGACAUCAGCCGGAUCGUGGGGGCACUAGGACACCUGCCGUCAGUGGAGGACAUUGGCAGAACCCUACUAAAACCUGGAGAUUGGUGCUGGGCGGCAGUGCUAUGGGGCAACCCACUGCUGCCCAAUGCAGCCAAUGAUGCAAACACCGAGGGCCCCAGCCGUCGACCAGGC